UUACUCUGAUUCCAAGCGUUUUUUCGUUUUUGGGGUCCCAGUCUUUUCUGUGCAUAGAUCCUUGAUCACUUAUUGCAGAAUAUACAACUUCUUUUUUUACUACCACAACUUUGUCAUCAAUGGACCAUUGAAUGUCAAAGACAUAGCCGUGAUAUGCAGAUGGCAUAUUGUUCACUCUACAUUCGAAUGCCAACGGAGUAUUGAUUAAUGUUGGAAUAUACGGAUGCACAUAGAGUGUGACAGCAAAUGUAAUGUUUGUUG
This 261-nucleotide long non-coding RNA is filed under the name Mytilus galloprovincialis (Mediterranean mussel). Lineage: Eukaryota; Metazoa; Mollusca; Bivalvia; Mytilida; Mytilidae. The record is from RNAcentral.